UCUCCGUAGGUGAACCUGCGGAGGGAUCAUUACAGAGUUCAUGCCCUAACGGGUAGAUCUCCCACCCUAUGUUAUCAUCACUUUGUUGCUUUGGCGGGCCGUCAGGCCUCGGCUUGGCUACCGGCUCUCGCUGUAAGCGCCCGCCAGAGAACCCCAAACCCUGAAUAUCAGUGUCGUCUGAGUACUAUAUAAUAGUUAAAACUUUCAACAACGGAUCUCUUGGCUCUG
This 228-nucleotide unclassified non-coding RNA is filed under the name plant metagenome. RNAcentral describes it as "partial contains small subunit ribosomal RNA, internal transcribed spacer 1, and 5.8S ribosomal RNA". The record is from RNAcentral.